Long non-coding RNA from Oncorhynchus tshawytscha (Chinook salmon), 301 nucleotides. The record is from Ensembl. NCBI's taxonomy places the organism in Eukaryota, Metazoa, Chordata, Actinopteri, Salmoniformes, Salmonidae.
CAAUGAGGUGAGGGGAGUUCCUUACUAUUCAGCGACCAAUUAGGACCAAGCCAAUGAGGUGAGGGGAGUUCCUUACUAUUCAGCGACCAAUUAGGACCAAGACAAUGAGGUGAGGGGAGUUCCUUACUAUUCAGCGACCAAUUAGGACCAAGACAAUGAGGUGAGGGGAGUUCCUUACUAUUCAGCGACCAAUUAGGACCAAGACAAUGAGGUGAGGGGAGUUCCUUACUCUUCAGCGACCAAUUAGGGUUUCCAAUCUCUCCCCCCAAAAAGUGGUGAUCGAUGGUGUCAAAAGCAGCAC